Molecule: ribosomal RNA, 400 nt
Filed under: uncultured bacterium
Lineage: Bacteria
Description: bacterial SSU rRNA
Rfam family: Bacterial small subunit ribosomal RNA
Source: RNAcentral
GGGGAAUAUUGGACAAUGGGGGCAACCCUGAUCCAGCCAUGCCGCGUGAGUGAUGAAGGCCUUAGGGUUGUAAAGCUCUUUCACCGGUGAAGAUAAUGACGGUAACCGGAGAAGAAGCCCCGGCUAACUUCGUGCCAGCAGCCGCGGUAAUACGAAGGGGGCUAGCGUUGUUCGGAAUUACUGGGCGUAAAGCGCACGUAGGCGGACAUUUAAGUCAGGGGUGAAAUCCCGCAGCUCAACUGCGGAACUGCCUUUGAUACUGGGUGUCUUGAGUAUGGAAGAGGUAAGUGGAAUCCCGAGUGUAGAGGUGAAAUUCGUAGAUAUUCGGAGGAACACCAGUGGCGAAGGCGGCUUACUGGUCCAUUACUGACGCUGAGGUGCGAAAGCGUGGGGAGCAAAC